Molecule: transfer RNA, 74 nt
Filed under: Lachnospiraceae bacterium KH1T2
Lineage: Bacteria; Bacillati; Bacillota; Clostridia; Lachnospirales; Lachnospiraceae
Also listed under: 1 other name
Rfam family: tRNA
About the family: Transfer RNA (tRNA) molecules are approximately 80 nucleotides in length.
Source: Rfam by way of RNAcentral
GUGGGAUUAGCGUAGUCGGUUAACGCGCCAGAUUGUGGAUCUGGAGACCAAGGGUUCGAGUCCCUUAUUCCACC